Molecule: long non-coding RNA, 1065 nt
Filed under: Parus major (Great Tit)
Lineage: Eukaryota; Metazoa; Chordata; Aves; Passeriformes; Paridae
Description: lncRNA (ENSPMJG00000007960.1)
Source: RNAcentral
UGGAAGGUGUCCCUGCCCGUGGCAGUGGGCUUGGAACUGGAUUAUCUUCAAAGUUACUUCCAACGCAAGUCAUUCUGUGAUUCUACAACUGAAAGGGAGGCAGUAGGCCCUUCCUCAUGCUUGUGGUUGCUGGUGUAUCUCUUCCUGUGGGUGUCACCGGUUCUGCAGCCACCUGGGCAGCAGAAUGUCCUUGGACAUCCUGGUGGGGAUGUGAGAUGGGGCAGAGGGCAGGGGUUCCAGGGCUGGAGGCCGAGGAAAAGUGACCUUCCAGAGCAGAGUGGUGGUUUAGGAGCUGGGUGUCAGAAGUGGGGUUCACAGCCCAGCUUGAGACUCUGGGGUGUGGCGGUAGGAGGGACAGCAGGGAACAACACGAUCCUGCUUUGGGAAGCAAGCUGGGACGAAAAGGCAGGGGCAGCAAUUCAGACCUGUGUCCAUAGGAAAAGUUUGGGGCUGAGGGAAUUCCUGGGGAAAAAUCGUUCCCAGCAAGAACAACAGAGGACCCCGCACCUUAACUUCGCCAGAACCCACAUCAGUGUCACCAUCCCCUCCUCUCUCAAGAGCACCGGGACGAGCAGGGCUGCAGGGAUCGGUCUGAACUGUCACAGACAAGCGGGGAAAUCACUCAAGCAGCAGGUCUGUCCUCCUAUAUGUGCCCUUCGUCACCUUGGCGGUGUUCCGGAGCGGGGAUGCCGUGCGGAGACAAAGGCCCCGUCGGAGGCAGGGCUCCCCCGUUCCCCACGCUCCCUGCCCGGGCUGGCGCCCCGCCCUGUGCCCGGAGGCGGGACCGGGGCUGGCCGGGAGCGGCGGGGAGCAGGUGCCGAGGCUGAGCCCCGUGUCUGCCGCCCUCUCCCCAGCCGCUGGGCAGCUGAUGCCUGCGCUCCAGACUGCCCACCCAUGGCUCUGAUCUCCUCCGCCGCCCCCUCGACCCCCAGCCCGGGACACUCGGCCUCUCCGUCGGGAGCAGGGAUGCUGGCUUUCCUCCUGGCAGGCUGUGCCAGCCACGUGCCGUCUCCUCGGAGUACUUUCCAGUGUCCCUGCCUCGCUGGGUCACUGAGCCCUCCGUAG